GCUCCUAUGGCUUAGUUGGUAAAGCGCAUCACUAGUAUUCUCAGUCAUGAUGAGAUCCUCGGUUCGAAUCCGAGUGGGAGCA
Molecule: transfer RNA, 82 nt
Filed under: Aspergillus candidus
Lineage: Eukaryota; Fungi; Ascomycota; Eurotiomycetes; Eurotiales; Aspergillaceae
Rfam family: tRNA
About the family: Transfer RNA (tRNA) molecules are approximately 80 nucleotides in length. Their secondary structure includes four short double-helical elements and three loops (D, anti-codon, and T loops).
Source: Rfam by way of RNAcentral